CCUACGGGAGGCAGCAGUGGGGAAUAUUGGACAAUGGGCGCAAGCCUGAUCCAGCCAUACCGCGUGGGUGAAGAAGGCCUUCGGGUUGUAAAGCCCUUUUGUUGGGAAAGCGGUACCCAAAGAAUAAGCACCGGCUAACUUCGUGCCAGCAGCCGCGGUAAUACGAAGGGUGCAAGCGUUACUCGGAAUUACUGGGCGUAAAGCGUGCGUAGGUGGUUGUUUAAGUCUGUUGUGAAAGCCCUGGGCUCAACCUGGGAAUUGCAGUGGAUACUGGGCAACUAGAGUGUGGUAGAGGGUAGUGGAAUUCCCGGUGUAGCAGUGAAAUGCGUAGAGAUCGGGAGGAACAUCCAUGGCGAAGGCAGCUACCUGGACCAAACUGACACUGAGGCACGAAAGCGUGGGGAGCAAACAGGAUUAGAUACCCUUGUAGUC
Molecule: ribosomal RNA, 432 nt
Filed under: uncultured bacterium
Lineage: Bacteria
Description: partial 16S ribosomal RNA
Rfam family: Bacterial small subunit ribosomal RNA
Source: RNAcentral